Molecule: ribosomal RNA, 399 nt
Filed under: uncultured bacterium
Lineage: Bacteria
Description: bacterial SSU rRNA
Rfam family: Bacterial small subunit ribosomal RNA
Source: RNAcentral
UAUUGCGCAAUGGGGGCAACCCUGACGCAGCAACGCCGCGUGAUUGAUGAAGGCCUUCGGGUUGUAAAGAUCUUUAAUCGGGGACGAAUUUUGACGGUACCCGAAGAAUAAGCUCCGGCUAACUACGUGCCAGCAGCCGCGGUAAUACGUAGGGAGCAAGCGUUAUCCGGAUUUACUGGGUGUAAAGGGCGUGUAGGCGGGCAUGCAAGCCAGAAGUGAAAUCUGGGGGCUUAACCCCCAAACUGCUUUUGGAACUGCGUGUCUUGAGUGAUGGAGAGGCAGGCGGAAUUCCCAGUGUAGCGGUGAAAUGCGUAGAUAUUGGGAGGAACACCAGUGGCGAAGGCGGCCUGCUGGACAUUAACUGACGCUGAGGCGCGAAAGCGUGGGGAGCAAACAGGA